AUUUCAAUUCCAACGAAUCACCUUCCUCAACCUGUAAUUUGUUUUGGCCACGUCCUAAGACUUUCUUAGAGUUAUGCUUGAUCACUAUUCGAAGAGUAUUAUCACAUUAAACCUCCUAAAUCGUGAGCAAUUAGAACCUCAAAAUUUCUUUCGAGCAUUUUGGACGAAAAGAAGGAACACAGAUUUUACAGAGUUCGAAUCCAGCGUGCACCCUCCAAUGGGAGGCGUGCAUGUCGCCCUUUUCAAAUCUAACAGUUCCGUUGAUGUUAAGUUCGAUUCACGCUCCCGUUAAGUGAAUCAGUCCGGUUCAGUGUUGGGAAGAGAUAAAACCACCAAUUAAAAGCCUUUUUUUCCUCUCAUUCGUUUGAAUUCCCCUUCCCCCAUUUUCAUUUUCACCAAGUCCUAGCCCAAGAGCAAGAUACCACUGACAACAAUUUCACCAAGCUCUGACGGCAUGGAGCCAACUGGCGAUAAGAAUAAGCUGAAUCCCUUCUUCUCAUUCUCCUUCCAACUCUGUUAUUCCUCUUUGUUAAUAUCUUCUUCUUUUCUCUUCUUCUAGCAACAGACUAUUGACGGCGAUUUCACUAUUUAACCGAACUCCAACGACAUUUAAUCAACUGGCGGAGACCACCGGCAGUGAUUUCAUUGUUUAACCAAGCUCCGACAACGGUUGCCUUCCAAUUUUGGUGGCAUGUCAGCUAGCGGAAGGUUGGUGCCGUCAAGCUCGAAGAAACAAUUGUGCCUCCGAGUUUUCGCAUGCUGUGUUGGCUACGACGAACCCAAACAAUAUUGAAUGGAAAAUGGAAAGAACUUGAUUUCCAUUGAAGGGGUACAAGUGUUUGUUGUUUAUAUGUUCCAUGCAAAGAAGUUGAUGCCCUUGAAGUGAUGGGAACAUAUGGAGAUUUCAUUGGAGCCUUUUAAUUUCGAGCUUCUUACAGUUUCUCUGAUGAAGUUAUUAUCGAGAAAAAUCCAAUUUGCUCCUAUUGGAUUAGUCGACAUGCUUAAUACCAAUGGUGCCAUUCAAUCACUGGAGUAGGAUGACGAGACAAGUUCAAUUCGAAUUGGAGUGAGGGGAACCAGAGAGAUGAGGUUGUUUGCAUAAAAAAAAAAAAAACAAAAAGUUUGUUUAAUUAAUAGUGAAGAGGUGCCAUUUACGUUUGAGGAACACAUAGUUGUGGUUCAAGUUCCAUGGUCUACUUCUGUGUUAUCUAUAAUUGAUUACCACUUUCAGAAUCUGGGAUGGGGAUUGGAUCCACAAAAAAUGGAUUGAUGUUUGAUUUUUAUUGAACUAAAUUUAUGUAAUGUGAAUAGUAGUAAAGUGUGCUCUGUUAUUUAUUGUUUGUCUUGUGUGUUGAACAGUUAACUUAUAUUCAUUUUUCACAAAAUGACCAAC
Molecule: long non-coding RNA, 1393 nt
Organism: Nelumbo nucifera (sacred lotus)
Lineage: Eukaryota; Viridiplantae; Streptophyta; Magnoliopsida; Proteales; Nelumbonaceae
Source: RefSeq, a predicted model, not a curated record